GAGGAAGUAAAAGUCGUAACAAGGUCUCCGUUGGUGAACCAGCGGAGGGAUCAUUACUGAGUUUACGCUCUAUAACCCUUUGUGAACAUACCUAUAACUGUUGCUUCGGCGGGUAGGGUCUCCGCGACCCUCCCGGCCUCCCGCCUCCGGGCGGGUCGGCGCCCGCCGGAGGAUAACCAAACUCUGAUUUAACGACGUUUCUUCUGAGUGGUACAAGCAAAUAAUCAAAACUUUUAACAACGGAUCUCUUGGUUCUGGCAUCGAUGAAGAACGCAGCGAAAUGCGAUAAGUAAUGUGAAUUGCAGAAUUCAGUGAAUCAUCGAAUCUUUGAACGCACAUUGCGCCCGCCAGCAUUCUGGCGGGCAUGCCUGUUCGAGCGUCAUUUCAACCCUCAAGCUCUGCUUGGUGUUGGGGCCCUACAGCUGAUGUAGGCCCUCAAAGGUAGUGGCGGACCCUCCCGGAGCCUCCUUUGCGUAGUAACUUUACGUCUCGCACUGGGAUCCGGAGGGACUCUUGCCGUAAAACCCCCCAAUUUUCCAAAGGUUGACCUCGGAUCAGGUAGGAAUACCCGCUGAACUUAAGCAUAUCAAUAAGCGGAGGAA
Molecule: ribosomal RNA, 602 nt
Filed under: Colletotrichum gloeosporioides
Lineage: Eukaryota; Fungi; Ascomycota; Sordariomycetes; Glomerellales; Glomerellaceae
Description: eukaryotic LSU rRNA
Rfam family: 5.8S ribosomal RNA (bases 229-382)
Source: RNAcentral